GGCCGGGUAGCUCAGUUGGUAGAGCAGGGGAUUGAAAAUCCCCGUGUCGGGGGUUCGAUUCCCUCCCCGGCCA
Transfer RNA from Lysobacter sp. Root96, 73 nucleotides. It matches the Rfam family "tRNA". Rfam says of the family: Transfer RNA (tRNA) molecules are approximately 80 nucleotides in length. Their secondary structure includes four short double-helical elements and three loops (D, anti-codon, and T loops). NCBI's taxonomy places the organism in Bacteria, Pseudomonadati, Pseudomonadota, Gammaproteobacteria, Lysobacterales, Lysobacteraceae. The record is from Rfam.